AGAGUUUGAUCCUGGCUCAGGAUGAACGCUAGCUACAGGCUUAACACAUGCAAGUCGAGGGGAAACGAUAGGGAAAGCUUGCUUUUCCUAGGCGUCGACCGGCGCACGGGUGAGUAACGCGUAUCCAACCUGCCCAUGUCUGGGGAAUAACCCGUCGAAAGGCGGACUAACUCCCCAUGGUCUCCGAUGAGGACAUCUGAAUUGGAGUAAAGCUUUGCGGACAUGGAUGGGGAUGCGUCUGAUUAGGUAGUAGGCGGGGUAACGGCCCACCUAGCCUACGAUCAGUAGGGGUUCUGAGAGGAAGGUCCCCCACAUUGGAACUGAGACACGGUCCAAACUCCUACGGGAGGCAGCAGUGAGGAAUAUUGGUCAAUGGACGAGAGUCUGAGCCAGCCAAGUAGCGUGCAGGAUGACGGCCCUAUGGGUUGUAAACUGCUUUUGCGCGGGGAUAACACCCUCCACGUGCUGGGGGUCUGCAGGUACCGCGCGAAUAAGGACCGGCUAAUUCCGUGCCAGCAGCCGCGGUAAUACGGAAGGUCCGGGCGUUAUCCGGAUUUAUUGGGUUUAAAGGGAGCGUAGGCCGGAGGUAAGCGUGUUGUGAAAUGUAGGCGCCCAACGUCUGCACUGCAGCGCGAACUGCCCCACUUGAGUGCGCGCAACGCCGGCGGAACUCGUCGUGUAGCGGUGAAAUGCUUAGAUAUGACGAAGAACCCCGAUUGCGAAGGCAGCUGGCGGGAGCGUAACUGACGCUGAAGCUCGAAAGCGCGGGUAUCGAACAGGAUUAGAUACCCUGGUAGUCCGCGCGGUAAACGAUGGAUGCCCGCUGUGGCGCGCCUGGCGUGCCGCGGCUAAGCGAAAGCAUUAAGCAUCCCACCUGGGGAGUACGCCGGCAACGGUGAAACUCAAAGGAAUUGACGGGGGCCCGCACAAGCGGAGGAACAUGUGGUUUAAUUCGAUGAUACGCGAGGAACCUUACCCGGGCUUGAACUGCAGGAGAACGAUUCAGAGAUGAUGAGGUCCUUCGGGACUC
RNAcentral lists this ribosomal RNA (1030 nucleotides) under human gut metagenome. RNAcentral describes it as "bacterial SSU rRNA". It matches the Rfam family "Bacterial small subunit ribosomal RNA", at positions 8 to 1029 of the family's 1533-position model. The record is from RNAcentral.